CCCUUAGAUGUUCUGGGCCGCACGCGCGCUACACUGACGAUGGCAACGAGUUUUUCCUUCGCCGAAAGGUGUGGGUAAUCUUUUGAAACAUCGUCGUGCUGGGGAUAGAUCAUUGCAAUUUUUGAUCUUGAACGAGGAAUUCCUAGUAAGCGCGAGUCAUCAGCUCGCGUUGAUUACGUCCCUGCCCUUUGUACACACCGCCCGUCGUUACUACCGAUUGAAUGGUUUAGUGAGGACUCCUGAUUGGCGCCGCCGCCCCGGCAACGGAGCAGCGGACUGCCGAAAAGUUGUUCAAACUUGAUCAUUUAGAGGAAGUAAAAGUCGUAACA
RNAcentral lists this ribosomal RNA (329 nucleotides) under uncultured eukaryote. RNAcentral describes it as "partial 18S ribosomal RNA". It matches the Rfam family "Eukaryotic small subunit ribosomal RNA", at positions 1470 to 1796 of the family's 1831-position model. The record is from RNAcentral.